RNAcentral lists this long non-coding RNA (537 nucleotides) under Homo sapiens (human). RNAcentral describes it as "non-protein coding lnc-PSTPIP2-3:1". The record is from RNAcentral. Lineage: Eukaryota; Metazoa; Chordata; Mammalia; Primates; Hominidae.
UGUGUGUCGUGGAUCUGUUCUUAAUACCUCUGUGGGUAGAUAGAAUUCCUUUUAACCCAUGUUAAAUGUGAAAACUUUAUUCUUCUAGAAUCCCUUCUUAAAUAGUGCUUUGGUCGAAAAAUGGGACCAAUUUAGGAAUUUUCUGUUUCCUCAUAAGUAAUUAGGGAAAAUUCUGUUGAGUUCUGAUCGGAAGGUAAAGUGCGUCCUCCUGUGUGCUUGGCAGGUUUUUAUCGCAUCUCCUCUUGUUCCUACACUUGGACAGCGGUGUCCCUCAGGGUGUCACACAACAGGUCACCCACAAGGUGGCACAGCACCUGACAGGAGCCAGCCAUGGGGACAACGUGAAGCUUCUCAACAGCAUGAUCCAGGCACACAUAUCUGUAAGCACUCAGCCCAAUGAAGUGGGCCCCGUUGCUGUGUUGGAGUUCUGGGUUCAGGCUCUCAUAAGCCAGCAUCUCUGGUACCGAGAACAACCUAUCCUCUUCCUCAUGGACCACUUGUGUAAAGCAGCUUUUCAGCUGAUGCAGGAAGACUGCA